This is a non-coding RNA of Ascodesmis nigricans, 88 nucleotides long. Lineage: Eukaryota; Fungi; Ascomycota; Pezizomycetes; Pezizales; Ascodesmidaceae. The record is from the annotation of a GenBank genome assembly.
GGUCGUAUAGUGUAGUGGUCAAGCACAUGAGAUUUUGACGCAUUAGUAUCAUCUUCCCGGAGCCUGGGUUCAAACCCCAGUAGGACCU